ACACACACAAUGAAAUAGAGAGAGAGAGAGAGAGAGAGAGAUAGAGAGAAUACAAUGAACUACAAUACAACGGGAUACAUUGAAAUACAAUGAAAAAAGAUAGUGAAUAUAAUGAAAUACAUGGAAUAUAGCGAGAUACAUUGAAUUACAAUGAAAACAAAGACAAUGAAUACAAGGAAAUACAUGAAAAUACAUUGAAAUAUAUUAAUAGAAAGCAAGUUGCUCGACCCCAAACUCCGUUGUCUUUGUUUAAGAACAAACCCUAAUUUUCAGCAAAUUUUUUGGAGGUACACCGGAGGUAAAAGAACUCCAGCGCAGGAAGAGAGCUAUCCCGCGAUAAGGCAUAGCCAAGAGGAGGGGAAAUAACAGCAACGUCAAUAUAACAACCUAGGGCCGUCAUCUCUUCUUCUUCUUCCGUUCUUUCAAAACCAAAUACAAACAUAAAUUAUCUUACAAUACAAAAAUUAAGCCAAACCUGGAACACUUUCUAAUCCGAAUGCCAUAGAGCCACUUCAAUGGAAGAAAUUGCUAGAUGAAUUGUACUAACAUUAUUACUAAAAACAGCUAAUUUGGGUACUUCAUUAUCUACAUUAUUGCAUCAAUUCGAUGGAAGAAUUGAUCGGAAUAAAAAGAAAAUAGUGCGGGUGAGAGGAAUUUUGAGAUUGAGC
Molecule: long non-coding RNA, 668 nt
Filed under: Nicotiana benthamiana
Lineage: Eukaryota; Viridiplantae; Streptophyta; Magnoliopsida; Solanales; Solanaceae
Description: long non-coding RNA (NBEN_LNC041718)
Source: RNAcentral